CCAUCGCUCAACGGAUAAAAGGUACUCCGGGGAUAACAGGCUGAUACCGCCCAAGAGUUCAUAUCGACGGCGGUGUUUGGCACCUCGAUGUCGGCUCAUCACAUCCUGGGGCUGAAGUCGGUCCCAAGGGUAUGGCUGUUCGCCAUUUAAAGUGGUACGCGAGCUGGGUUCAGAACGUCGUGAGACAGUUCGGUCCCUAUCUGCCGUGGGCGUUGGAUGAUUGAAGGGAGUUGCUCCUAGUACGAGAGGACCGGAGUGAACGAACCUCUGGUGUUCGGGUUGUCACGCCAGUGGCACUGCCCGGUAGCUAAGUUCGGAAUCGAUAACCGCUGAAAGCAUCUAAGCGGGAAGCGAGCCCUGAGAUGAGUCAUCCCUGACCCCUUGAGGGUCCUAAAGGGCCGUUGGAGACCACAACGUUGAUAGGUGGGGUGUGUAAGCGCAGUGAUGUGUUGAGCUAACCCAUACUAAUUACCCGUGAGGCUUAACCAUACAACACCCAAGAAGUGUUCUG
This 511-nucleotide ribosomal RNA is filed under the name Aeromonas salmonicida subsp. salmonicida. Its description in RNAcentral is "bacterial LSU rRNA". It matches the Rfam family "Bacterial large subunit ribosomal RNA", at positions 2442 to 2925 of the family's 2925-position model. The record is from RNAcentral. Lineage: Bacteria; Pseudomonadati; Pseudomonadota; Gammaproteobacteria; Aeromonadales; Aeromonadaceae.